Molecule: ribosomal RNA, 253 nt
Filed under: uncultured bacterium
Lineage: Bacteria
Description: partial 16S ribosomal RNA
Rfam family: Bacterial small subunit ribosomal RNA
Source: RNAcentral
UACAGAGGUCUCAAGCGUUGUUCGGAUUCAUUGUGCGUAAAGGUUGUGUAGGUGGCGCCGUAAGUCGGGUGUGAAAUUUCGGAGCUUAACUCCGAAACUGCAUUCGAUACUGCGGUGCUUGAGGACUGGAGAGGAGACUGGAAUUCAUGGUGUAGCAGUGAAAUGCGUAGAGAUCAUGAGGAAGACCAGUGGCGAAGGCGGGUCUCUGGACAGUUCCUGACACUGAGACACGAAGGCCAGGGGAGCAAACGGG